This 950-nucleotide ribosomal RNA is filed under the name Massarina pandanicola. Its description in RNAcentral is "SSU rRNA". It matches the Rfam family "Eukaryotic small subunit ribosomal RNA", at positions 115 to 1072 of the family's 1831-position model. The record is from RNAcentral. Lineage: Eukaryota; Fungi; Ascomycota; Dothideomycetes; Pleosporales; Massarinaceae.
GUUUAUUUGAUAGUACCUUACUACAUGGAUACCUGUGGUAAUUCUAGAGCUAAUACAUGCUGAAAACCCCGACUUCGGAAGGGGUGUAUUUAUUAGAUAAAAAACCAAUGCCCUUUCGGGGCUUCUUGGUGAUUCAGAAUAACUUCUCAGAUCGCAUGGCCUUGCGCCGGCGACGGUUCAUUCAAAUUUCUGCCCUAUCAACUUUCGAUGGUAAGGUAUUGGCUUACCAUGGUUUUUACGGGUAACGGGGAAUUAGGGUUCGAUUCCGGAGAGUCAGCCUGAGAAACGGCUGACACAUCCAAGGAAGGCAGCAGGCGCGCAAAUUACCCAAUCCCGACACGGGGAGGUAGUGACAAUAAAUACUGAUAUGAGGCUCUUUUGGGUCCCAUAAUUGGAAUGAGUACAAUUUAAACCUCUUAACGAGGAACAAUUGGAGGGCAAGUCUGGUGCCAGCAGCCGCGGUAAUUCCAGCUCCAAUAGCGUAUAUUAAAGUUGUUGCAGUUAAAAAGCUCGUAGUUGAACCUUUGGCCUGGCUGGCAGGUCCGCCUCACCGCGUGCACUUGUCCGGCCGGGCCUUUUCUCCUGGAGAACCGCAUGCCCUUCACUGGGUGUGUUGGGGACCAGGACUUUUACUUUGAAAAAAUUAGAGUGUUCAAAGCAGGCCUUUGCUCGAAUAUUACAGCAUGGAAUAAUAGAAUAGGACGUUGCGGUUCUAUUUUGUUGGUUUCUAGGACCGCCGUAAUGAUUAAUAGGGACAGUCGGGGGCAUCAGUAUUCAAUUGUCAGAGGUGAAAUUCUUGGAUUUAUUGAAGACUAACUACUGCGAAAGCAUUUGCCAAGGAUGUUUUCAUUAAUCAGUGAACGAAAGUUAGGGGAUCGAAGACGAUCAGAUACCGUCGUAGUCUUAACCAUAAACUAUGCCGACUAGGGAUCGGGCGGUGUUACUAUUUG